Long non-coding RNA from Pipistrellus kuhlii (Kuhl's pipistrelle), 1847 nucleotides. RefSeq lists it as uncharacterized. The transcript is spliced from 2 exons. The record is from RefSeq and is a predicted model, not a curated record. NCBI's taxonomy places the organism in Eukaryota, Metazoa, Chordata, Mammalia, Chiroptera, Vespertilionidae.
UUUUUUACCUAUUUGUUGAGUUCGGAACCAUUGGGAAUGCUUAGAUUUUUUUUAGUUGAAGUUCAUGUGUGCGUGCAUGCGUGUGCCUGCCGUUUAACCCAGAAGAGUUAUACUGUAAAUCUGUCUAGUUGGUACCAGAUGUAUAUUUUUAGAACUAUCAGCUGCUUUAAAAAAAAAAUCACUGAUUAGAGAAAGAAUUGAGAUUCUGAGUGGGAUUUUUAUCUUGUUUAUUUAUUACUUAAAAUCAUAGCAUACUGUAUAUUGAUGAUUUUAAAAGAUUAAGAUUUGUGAAAGAAAUGCAGAUUCUCUUAUUAUGUUCCGCAAAAUGAAUGUCCUGACAAGGGAAAAAUUAUUGGUAGAAUACAGUCAAACCUCGUUUCUAGAACAUCUUCCAUCUUCAACAAUUUGGUUGUCAAUCAGGUUGUUCACAGAAAGAAAGUCUCUAUUGUUGUUGAACCAAACUUCUACCUGACAACCCUUUUGUGCUGAUACCUCAGUGUGGCAAAAAGCAUAUCUCAGGCAACAAAGGAGGGAAUGCUUUUGUUGCUGGCAAAAUCAAUGACUAGCACAAUUUUGAAACAUAAAGAGGCCAUCAAGAGUGCUAAUGUUGCUAAGGUUGUGAAAGAAACAAUGAUCACAGACAAUUAAGAGGUAGAAGGAAAGCAGUUAGCAGUGACAGCAUUUGGGAGGCAAAGAUGCUGCAUGCUGACCUGAAAGACACCCUGGACAAGUCCUGAAAGUGAUUCCUUUACAGCUAGGAGUGGGUAGUUCAACAAAUUAAAAAAAAAAGUGUUUAUUAAUACAUUAAAUUACAUUAGCAUAUACUGUAUAUAAGAAGGGUGGGUACUUGCUAGAAGCUUUGCCAAAGGAAGACAUUCUGUGUUCAGUCUUGGCAGCAGCCAUUACAGUAACACUCGGUUCCACUGUCAUACUGUGUGUGCUCCUGUGUCAUACUGUGUGCUGCUCCUGUGGUCAUACUGUGUGCUGCUCCUGUGAAGACCCCAGAGGCUGUUCUCAAGGUUUUACAGUCCAUCUAAGGAAAUCACAGUAAAAGUAUGAACAUAACUUUUUGUACAGUACCAGUGGUUUUUGCACAUUUCACCCCCUCUUCCUGCCUUUAGGCCGCACCCCCCAACCUGGGGGUAAACCGAAGAGGCUGCUGGUGGCUCAGCCUGGCCACCUUGGAGGCCGAGAUCACUUGUUCACCACCUGUUGUCCACACCUGUGCACUCAGGUUGGAAAGCUCUAGAUUCACAGAUAUUCAAAUUUUAAACUUGGGCCUUACAUAGAGUGGUUUUCCUUAUAAGAAGUGUGCAUCUCAGCAAGGAACUCAAAAAGGCAAAUGUGUUUUCCAAGCUUUAAAAAAAAGAAAUCAGCUUUAGGAUUUUGUGUGAAAAUGUGCAAUUCAGCAGAACCACCUGUAAGUAAAUUAUUUGGUUAUUUCUAUUUCAGUGUUUUCUGUUUUAUGAUACUGAUUUUCCCUUUCAAUAAUAAAUGAUGUGACCAACCAAGGAGAAAUCUUUAUUCUGUUAUAAGAUUAUUUUUACAGUUAGGAAUUACAAAAAGAAUAAUGGAUCAUAAAUGUGUUUUCCUUUUGGAAUAAGAGGAAUUCUCUCUGGGGGAUUCUUGUGGUGUAUCAUUUCCAUUCAUAGUAACCUCACUGGCCACACUUGCACUUGAGUUGGUGUUGAGAAUCAAACUGGAAGUCCACCAAUGGCCCACAGACUUGUGUGAGCUUGCUUCCUUGUGAUUUAACUAGAUUUUUCUGGCCUUUGAAUCUUGUUACCUGUUGCAAUGCUUAGUUGAACUUGAUUCUAAAUUCAGUAAAAUAAAUUAUCUGAAUCUGA